UGGCUGGAGGGGAUGUCUGGAGGAGCUGGGAAGUAACCAGAUGACUGACAGCGAUUCAGGCUCGAUGCCUUAUGGAGGGGACAGGCGAACAGACCUGCUCCUUCCUUUGUGUUGCCAGUCAGGUCCUCCCUCUGCAGUCUUACACAGGAAGAAGAUUUAUAACAGCUGCAUGCAAUGCCAGUGUCUCAAAGAAACAGUAUCACGCCAUGUGGAGGAUUUUUGUUUGGGGUUUGUUUUCUCCACUGAAUUGGAAAGGCUCUUGGUGGCCUGCUUCUUACCUCCCUGACUAGUGGCAUGUAUUAAAUCAAUGUGUAUAAAGUCACCACUGGAACCCAGUGACAGACCUUGAUUAACUGUGCUUAAUCUAUUCCCACAGAAAAAUGGACCAAAGAAAGUGUUCUAAAACAAGAUAAUAAAAUGUUAUCAUUUCUCCUCUCUCAUUUUAUUAAAUAUGCUCAUCUUCUGUGCAAAGUGAGCCUAUCCAGUUGGCAUCUCUGUGAUGAGACAGAAUGCAUAAGGAAAAAUUGGUUUUGAAACGUAUGUUUACAUAUUCUAUCUGCAAUGGUAAUCUUACUGACAGACAUUUGUCACUGAUCAUUCUGUUGUGG
Long non-coding RNA from Zonotrichia albicollis (white-throated sparrow), 608 nucleotides. RefSeq lists it as uncharacterized. The record is from RefSeq and is a predicted model, not a curated record. Lineage: Eukaryota; Metazoa; Chordata; Aves; Passeriformes; Passerellidae.